This 253-nucleotide ribosomal RNA is filed under the name uncultured bacterium. RNAcentral describes it as "partial 16S ribosomal RNA". It matches the Rfam family "Bacterial small subunit ribosomal RNA", at positions 524 to 776 of the family's 1533-position model. The record is from RNAcentral.
UACAGAGGGUGCAAGCGUUAAUCGGAAUUACUGGGCGUAAAGCGUGCGUAGACGGUUAUGUAAGUCGGGUGUGAAAGCCCCGGGCUCAACCUGGGAAUGCCAUUCGAGACUGCAUAGCUAGGGUGCGGAAGAGGGAAGCGGAAUUUCCGGUGUAGCGGUGAAAUGCGUAGAUAUCGGAAGGAACACCAGUGGCGAAGGCGGCUUCCUGGUCCAGCACCGACGUUCAGGCACGAAAGCGUGGGGAGCAAACAGG